RNAcentral lists this ribosomal RNA (164 nucleotides) under Quercus coccifera. Its description in RNAcentral is "5.8S ribosomal RNA". It matches the Rfam family "5.8S ribosomal RNA". From Rfam's summary of the family: 5.8S ribosomal RNA (5.8S rRNA) is a component of the large subunit of the eukaryotic ribosome. It is transcribed by RNA polymerase I as part of the 45S precursor that also contains 18S and 28S rRNA. The record is from RNAcentral. Lineage: Eukaryota; Viridiplantae; Streptophyta; Magnoliopsida; Fagales; Fagaceae.
AAAACGACUCUCGGCAACGGAUAUCUAGGCUCUCGCAUCGAUGAAGAACGUAGCGAAAUGCGAUACUUGGUGUGAAUUGCAGAAUCCCGCGAAUCAUCGAGUUUUUGAACGCAAGUUGCCCCCAAAGCCAUUCGGCCGAGGGCACGUCUGCCUAGGUGUCACGC